AGUGCAUGUGGCGGAUGCCUUGGCGAUCACAGGCGAAGAAAGACGCGGCAGCCUGCGAAAAGCUGCGGGGAGCUGGCAAACGAGCUUUGAUCCGCAGAUAUCUGAAUGGGGGAACCCACACCGCAAGGUGUAUCCGUGACUGAAUACAUAGGUUACGGAGGCGAACGAGGAGAACUGAAACAUCUAAGUAUCCUCAGGAAAAGAAAUCAACCGAGAUUCCGGCAGUAGCGGCGAGCGAACCCGGAGGAGCCUAGCUUUUGAUAGUACGAACUUUAGCCGAAAGGUCCUGGAAAGGCCUGCUAUAGUGGGUGAUAGCCCCGUAGGCGAAAGAGUUCGUAUGGUACUAAGGAAGCGAGAAGUAGAGCGGGACACGUGGAAUCCUGUUCGAAGAUGGGGGGACCAUCCUCCAAGGCUAAAUACUCGUGAUCGACCGAUAGUGAACCAGUACCGUGAGGGAAAGGCGAAAAGAACCCCGGGAGGGGAGUGAAAUAGAACCUGAAACCGUGUGCCUACAAAUAGUCAGAGCCCGUUAAUGGGUGAUGGCGUGCCUUUUGUAGAAUGAACCGGCGAGUUACGAUAUGAUGCGAGGUUAAGUUGAAGAGACGGAGCCGUAGGGAAACCGAGUCUUAAUAGGGCGCAUUAGUAUCAUGUCGUAGACCCGAAACCAUGUGACCUACCCAUGAGCAGGUUGAAGGUGAGGUAAAACUCACUGGAGGACCGAACCAGGGCACGUUGAAAAGUGCUUGGAUGACUUGUGGGUAGCGGAGAAAUUCCAAACGAACUUGGAGAUAGCUGGUUCUCUCCGAAAUAGCUUUAGGGCUAGCGUCGAUGUUAAGUCUCUUGGAGGUAGAGCACUGUUUGGGUGAGGGGUCCAUCCCGGAUUACCAAUCUCAGAUAAACUCCGAAUGCCAACGAGAUAUAAUCGGCAGUCAGACUGCGAGUGCUAAGAUCCGUAGUCGAAAGGGAAACAGCCCAGACCACCAGCUAAGGUCCCAAAAUAUAUGUUAAGUGGAAAAGGAUGUGGGGUUGCACAGACAACUAGGAUGUUAGCUUAGAAGCAGCUAUUCAUUCAAAGAGUGCGUAAUAGCUCACUAGUCGAGUGACCCUGCGCCGAAAAUGUACCGGGGCUAAAACAUAUUACCGAAGCUGUGGAUACCUUUAUAGGUAUGGUAGGAGAGCGUUCUAUGUGCGAAGAAGGUGUACCGUGAGGAGUGCUGGAGCGCAUAGAAGUGAGAAUGCCGGUAUGAGUAGCGAAAGACAGGUGAGAAUCCUGUCCACCGUAAGACUAAGGUUUCCAGGGGAAGGCUCGUCCGCCCUGGGUUAGUCGGGACCUAAGGAGAGACCGAAAGGUGUAUCCGAUGGACAACAGGUUGAUAUUCCUGUACUAGAGUAUAUAGUGAUGGAGGGACGCAGUAGGCUAACUAAACCAGACGAUUGGAAGUGUCUGGCCAAGCAGUGAGGUGUGAUAUGAGUCAAAUGCUUAUAUCUAUAACAUUGAGCUGUGAUGGGGAGCGAAGUUUAGUAGCGAAGUUAGUGAUGUCACACUGCCGAGAAAAGCUUCUAGCGUUAAUUAUACUCUACCCGUACCGCAAACCGACACAGGUAGUCGAGGCGAGUAGCCUCAGGUGAGCGAGAGAACUCUCGUUAAGGAACUCGGCAAAAUGGCCCCGUAACUUCGGGAGAAGGGGCGCUGACUUAUGGUCAGCCGCAGUGAAUAGGCCCAAGCAACUGUUUAUCAAAAACACAGCUCUCUGCUAAAUCGUAAGAUGAUGUAUAGGGGGUGACGCCUGCCCGGUGCUGGAAGGUUAAGAGGAGUGCUUAGCAAUAGCGAAGGUAUGAAUUGAAGCCCCAGUAAACGGCGGCCGUAACUAUAACGGUCCUAAGGUAGCGAAAUUCCUUGUCGGGUAAGUUCCGACCCGCACGAAAGGCGUAAUGAUUUGAGCGCUGUCUCGACAAUGCAUCCGGUGAAAUUGAAGUACCAGUGAAGAUGCUGGUUACCUGCGCCAGGACGGAAAGACCCCAUGGAGCUUUACUCUAGCUUGAUACUGGGAUUCGGUAUUGCAUGUACAGGAUAGGUGGGAGACGAAGAGGUGAUGACGCCAGUUGUCACGGAGUCGAUGUUGGGAUACCACCCCUGCAGUACUGGGUUUCUAACCUGCGCCCGUGACCCGGGCGGGGGACAAUGUCAGGCGGGGAGUUUGACUGGGGCGGUCGCCUCCGAAAGGGUAUCGGAGGCGCUCAAAGGUUCCCUCAGAAUGGUUGGAAACCAUUCGAAGAGUGCAAAGGCAGAAGGGAGCUUGACUGCGACACCGACGGGUGGAGCAGGUACGAAAGUAGGACUUAGUGAUCCGGUGGUAUAAAGUGGGAUUGCCAUCGCUCAACGGAUAAAAGCUACCCUGGGGAUAACAGGCUUAUCACUCCCAAGAGUUCACAUCGACGGAGUGGUUUGGCACCUCGAUGUCGGCUCAUCGCAUCCUGGGGCUGUAGUAGGUCCCAAGGGUUGGGCUGUUCGCCCAUUAAAGCGGUACGCGAGCUGGGUUCAGAACGUCGUGAGACAGUUCGGUCCCUAUCCGGCGUGGGCGUAGGAUAUCUGAGAGGAGCUGUCCUUAGUACGAGAGGACCGGGAUGGACGGACCGCUGGUGUACCGGUUAGACUGCCAAGUCUACGGCCGGGUAGCCAAGUCCGGAAGGGAUAAACGCUGAAGGCAUCUAAGCGUGAAGCCCCCCUCAAGAUGAGAUAUCCCAUUCGAAAGAAGUAAACCCCCUUGA
Molecule: ribosomal RNA, 2769 nt
Filed under: human gut metagenome
Description: bacterial LSU rRNA
Rfam family: Bacterial large subunit ribosomal RNA
Source: RNAcentral